GUUUAGGCCAGCAUCGAUUUCUGUAGGGGGAUAAAGACUUCGGGAAAGUAGCUCUCUUCGGGGAGUGUUAUAGCCCGCUGUGUAAUACCCUUGCGGGGAUCGAGGUUCGCGCUCUGCAAGGAUGCUGGCAUAAUGGUCAUCAGUGACCCGUCUUGAAACACGGACCAAGGAGUCGAACAUUUAUGCGAGUGUUUGGGUGUUAAACCCUCACGCGUAAUGAAAGUGAACGGAGGUGAGAGCCCUUAAGGGUGCAUCAUCGACCGAUCCUGAUGUCUUCGGAUGGAUUUGAGUAAGAGCAUAACUGUUCGGACCCGAAAGAUGGUGAACUAUGCGUGGAUAGGGUGAAGCCAGAGGAAACUCUGGUGGAGGCUCGCAGCGGUUCUGACGUGCAAAUCGAUCGUCAAAUCUGCGCAUGGGGGCGAAAGACUAAUCGAACCAUUAACGGAGACCAGCGGUAAAUAUUUAAUUUACUAGGUGGUUAAGAGGCUUCUUGCGAGAGGAAGCCUAGGUCGGACCUACCCGGUAGCUACCC
RNAcentral lists this ribosomal RNA (532 nucleotides) under Lopadostoma sp. RNAcentral's name for it is "partial large subunit ribosomal RNA". It matches the Rfam family "Eukaryotic large subunit ribosomal RNA", at positions 489 to 1438 of the family's 3401-position model. The record is from RNAcentral. Lineage: Eukaryota; Fungi; Ascomycota; Sordariomycetes; Xylariales; Xylariaceae.